GGCGGCGUGGAUAAGACAUGCAAGUCGAACGCUAAUUUCAGGGUAGCAAUAUUCUGAGGUUGGAGUGGCGCAAGGGUGCGUAACACGUGGGUAAUUUGCCGUGAAGUUGGGGAUAACUCGCUGAAAGGCGAGCUAAUACCGAAUGUGAAAAUUGGGAGGCAUCUUCUGAUUUUCAAAGUUGGGGACCGCAAGGCCUGACGCUUCUCGAUAAGCCCGCGGCCUAUCAGCUAGUUGGUGGGGUAACGGCUCACCAAGGCUAANACGGGUAGCUGGUCUGAGAGGACGACCAGUCACACUGGAACUGAGACACGGUCCAGACACCUACGGGUGGCAGCAGUCGAGAACUUUUCUCAAUGGGCGAAAGCCUGAAGGAGCGACGCCGCGUGGGGGAUGAAGGGCUUCGGCUCGUAAACCCCUGUCAUUUGCGAACNAACCUUAUGGCUUAAUA
Molecule: ribosomal RNA, 448 nt
Filed under: uncultured Verrucomicrobiota bacterium
Lineage: Bacteria; Pseudomonadati; Verrucomicrobiota
Description: bacterial SSU rRNA
Rfam family: Bacterial small subunit ribosomal RNA
Source: RNAcentral